RNAcentral lists this ribosomal RNA (440 nucleotides) under uncultured bacterium. Its description in RNAcentral is "partial 16S ribosomal RNA". It matches the Rfam family "Bacterial small subunit ribosomal RNA", at positions 338 to 795 of the family's 1533-position model. The record is from RNAcentral.
CCUACGGGAGGCUGCAGUGGGGAAUAUUGCACAAUGGGGGAAACCCUGAUGCAGCGACGCCGCGUGAGUGAAGAAGUAAUUCGUUAUGUAAAGCUCUAUCAGCAGGGAAGAAAAUGACGGUACCUGAGUAAGAAGCCCCGGCUAACUACGUGCCAGCAGCCGCGGUAAUACGUAGGGGGCAAGCGUUAUCCGGAUUUACUGGGUGUAAAGGGAGCGUAGACGGGAGUGCAAGUCUGGAGUGAAAGGCGGGGGCUCAACCCCCGGACUGCUCUGGAAACUGUACGGCUGGAGUGCGGGAGAGGUAAGUGGAAUUCCUAGGGUAGCGGUGAAAUGCGUAGAUAUUAGGAGGAACACCAGUGGCGAAGGCGGCUUACUGGACUGUAACUGACGUGGAGGCUCGAAAGCGUGGGGAGCAAACAGGAUUAGAUACCCGAGUAGUC